AAUCAACGCUGGCGGCGUGCCUCAGACACGCAAGUCGAACGCGAAAGGUUCCUUCGGGAACCCGGUAGAGUGGCGCACGGGUGAGUAACACGUGGGUAAUUUGCCUUCGGGUGGGGAAUAACAGUCGGAAACGGCUGCUAAUACCGCAUAAUGCAGCGGCAUCAUAAGAUGACAGUUGUUAAAGCGGGGGAUCGUAAGACCUCGCGCCUGAAGAGAAGCCCGCGACGGAUUAGGUAGUUGGUGAGGUAAUGGCUCACCAAGCCCGCGAUCCGUAACCGGCCUGAGAGGGCGGUCGGUCACACUGACACUGACAUACGGGUCAGACUCCUACGGGAGGCAGCAGUCGGGAAUUUUGGGCAAUGGGCGCAAGCCUGACCCAGCAACGCCGCGUGAA
Molecule: ribosomal RNA, 394 nt
Filed under: uncultured bacterium
Lineage: Bacteria
Description: bacterial SSU rRNA
Rfam family: Bacterial small subunit ribosomal RNA
Source: RNAcentral